Molecule: ribosomal RNA, 1106 nt
Filed under: uncultured organism
Description: bacterial SSU rRNA
Rfam family: Bacterial small subunit ribosomal RNA
Source: RNAcentral
CCCUGACGAUGCGACGCCGCGUGGAGGAUGAAGGCCUUAGGGUUGUAAACUCCUGUCAAGAGGGAAUAAGCAAGUGAAUGUACCUCUAGAGGAAGGGGCGGCUAAUUCCGUGCCAGCAGCCGCGGUAACACGGAAGCCCCGAGCGUUGUUCGGAUUCAUUGGGCGUAAAGGGUGCGUAGGCGGCGCGGAAAGUCCGGCGUGAAAGGCAGGGGCUCAACCUCUGGACUGCGUUGGAUACUUCCGUGCUUGAGGACUGGAGGGGAGACUGGAAUUCACGGUGUAGCAGUGAGAUGCGUAGAUAUCGUGAGGAAGACCGGUUGGCCGAAGGCGAGUCUCUGGACAGAUCCUGACGCUGAGGCACGAAGGCUGGGGGAGCGAACAGGAUUAGAUACCCUGGUAGUCCCAGCAGUAAACGAUGUGAGCUUGAUGUGGGGGGAUUCGACCCCUUCCGUGUCGAAGCUAACGCGAUAAGCUCACCGCCUGAGGAGUACGGCCGCAAGGCUAAAACUCAAAGAAAUUGACGGGGACCCGCACAAGCGGUGGAGUAUGUGGCUUAAUUCGAUGCAACGCGAAGAACCUUACCUGGCCUUGACAUGCAUUNGUGUCGUCGGUGAAAGCCGGCUAGUCCUGGAAACAGGACGCUUUGCACAGGUGCUGCAUGGCUGUCGUCAGCUCGUGUCGUGAGAUGUUGGGUUAAGUCCCGCAACGAGCGCAACCCUUGUGGUCAGUUACUAACCGGCUUAGCCGGAGGACUCUGGCCAGACUGCCCUGUCAAACGGGGAGGAAGGUGGGGACGACGUCAAGUCAGUAUGGCCCUUAUGGCCAGGGCUGCACACGUACUACAAUGCCCGGUACAAUGUGAACCGAAACCGCGAGGUGGAGGAAAUCGCUUUUGAAAACCGGGCCCAGUUCGGAUUGGAGUCUGCAACUCGACUCCAUGAAGUCGGAAUCGCUAGUAAUGGCGUAUCAGCAACGACGCCGUGAAUACGUUCCCGGGUCUUGUACACACCGCCCGUCACAUCAUGGAAGUCUCCUGUACCCGAAGCACGUGCGCCAACCUUUCAGGAGGCAGCGUUCGAAGGUAUGGGAGGUAACUGGGAUGAAGU